UUCUUUAAAGUUAAAAAAUUUGGCGGUAUUUUAGUCUGUUCAGAGGAGCCUGUUUCUUAAUUGAUAGUCCACGAUAAAUUUUACCUUAGCUUUAAAUUUGCAUAUCGUUGUUUAUAAAAAUUUUAGGAUAGAAUUUUUUCAGAUCAAGGUGUAGUGGAUGCUGAGGAGGGGAUGGGUUACAUUGGAAAUUUCAGGUUAAUUGGAUUUGAUAGUAAGCUCUAAAAUAUGCACAUAUCGCCCGUCGCUUUCAUUAUAAUGUGAAAUAAGUCGUAACAAAGUAGGCCUAUUGGAAAAUGGGCCUGGAAUGCAAGUUAGAGCUUGGUAAGCAUUUUAUUUACAUUAAAGGGUUAAUUGUGAAAUUCAAUUUGACUUGAAUUUUUUAUGUUAUUUUGUUUAUUUUUUUGUUUGUUUUGCUAGAAGUGAAUUUGUUUAUAUUGUUUUUUUGAAAUAAUUUAAUUAUAGUUAAUUUUACUGUAGAGGAUUUAAUAUUAGUGUUUGAAAGAAAAUUUUUGUUGUUGUACCUUGUGUGUCAGGGUUAAUUUAUUUAAUUUUCCCGAUUUCUUAAGAGCUACUUUUACUGUAAAAUAAGUAUUUAUAAUUUUGUUGUGGGAGUGAAAUGCUAUUCGAUUAAGAAUGUAUCUGGUUUUUUAAUAAAUGAAUUUAAUUCAAUUAUUGAUUAUUAAGUUGAUAGGGGAUAAGCUCUUGAUUAGAUUAGGAUAAGAAAUGAUUUAGUAGAUUUUUAUAGGAUUAGAAUUUUUCAUUGUUUUAUUAUGUUAUAGUUAGUUCUUUUCGUUAUUUAUUAAGAUUAUUUCUUUAACUUUAAAGGUUAUGAGAUAAUGAUUAAAUUAGUAAGGUUAUUUAAAGGAAUUCGGCAAAUUUGAAUUUCACCUGUUUAAUAAAAACAUGUCUUUUUGAUGAUGAUUUAAGGUCGGGCCUGCCCAAUGAUUAAAUGGCCGCAGUAUUUUGACUGUGCAAAGGUAGCAUAAUCAUUAGUUUCUUAAUUAGAAGCUGGAAUGAAAGGUUUGAUGAGAGAUUAACUGUCUCUAGAAUUUUAUUUUUGAGUUAGAAAGCUUAAAUUUUAUAAAAAGACGAGAAGACCCUAUAGAGUUUUUUUAUUGGGGUGACGGAAAAAUUGAUUAAACUUUUUAUU
Molecule: ribosomal RNA, 1150 nt
Filed under: Oectosis sp. NLG-2012
Lineage: Eukaryota; Metazoa; Arthropoda; Insecta; Coleoptera; Tenebrionidae
Description: partial 16S ribosomal RNA
Source: RNAcentral